AGAGUUUGAUCCUGGCUCAGGACGAACGCUGGCGGCACGCUUAACACAUGCAAGUCGAACGAGAGAAGAGGAGCUUGCUUUUCUGAUCUAGUGGCGGACGGGUGAGUAACACGUGAGCAAUCUGCCUUUCAGAGGGGGAUACCGAUUGGAAACGAUCGUUAAUACCGCAUAACAUAAUUGAACCGCAUGAUUUGAUUAUCAAAGAUUUAUCGCUGAAAGAUGAGCUCGCGUCUGAUUAGCUAGUUGGUAAGGUAACGGCUUACCAAGGCGACGAUCAGUAGCCGGACUGAGAGGUUGAUCGGCCACAUUGGGACUGAGACACGGCCCAGACUCCUACGGGAGGCAGCAGUGGGGAAUAUUGCACAAUGGAGGAAACUCUGAUGCAGCGAUGCCGCGUGAGGGAAGAAGGUUUUAGGAUUGUAAACCUCUGUCUUCAGGGACGAAAAAAGACGGUACCUGAGGAGGAAGCUCCGGCUAACUACGUGCCAGCAGCCGCGGUAAUACGUAGGGAGCGAGCGUUGUCCGGAAUUACUGGGUGUAAAGGGAGCGUAGGCGGGAUCGCAAGUCAGAUGUGAAAACUAUGGGCUUAACCCAUAAACUGCAUUUGAAACUGUGGUUCUUGAGUGAAGUAGAGGUAAGCGGAAUUCCUAGUGUAGCGGUGAAAUGCGUAGAUAUUAGGAGGAACAUCAGUGGCGAAGGCGGCUUACUGGGCUUUAACUGACGCUGAGGCUCGAAAGCGUGGGGAGCAAACAGGAUUAGAUACCCUGGUAGUCCACGCCGUAAACGAUGAUUACUAGGUGUGGGGGGACUGACCCCUUCCGUGCCGCAGCAAACGCAAUAAGUAAUCCACCUGGGGAGUACGACCGCAAGGUUGAAACUCAAAGGAAUUGACGGGGGCCCGCACAAGCAGUGGAGUAUGUGGAUUAAUUCGAAGCAACGCGAAGAACCUUACCAGGUCUUGACAUCGUAUGCAUAGCUCAGAGAUGAGUGAAAUCUCUUCGGAGACAUAUAGACAGGUGGUGCAUGGUUGUCGUCAGCUCGUGUCGUGAGAUGUUGGGUUAAGUCCCGCAACGAGCGCAACCCUUACUGUUAGUUGCUACUCAAGAGCACUCUAGCAGGACUGCCGUUGACAAAACGGAGGAAGGUGGGGAUGACGUCAAAUCAUCAUGCCCCUUAUGACCUGGGCCUCACACGUACUACAAUGGCUGUCAACAGAGGGAAGCAAAGCCGCGAGGUGGAGCGAACCCCUAAAAGCAGUCUUAGUUCGGAUUGUAGGCUGCAACCCGCCUACAUGAAGUCGGAAUUGCUAGUAAUCGCAGAUCAGCAUGCUGCGGUGAAUACGUUCCCGGGCCUUGUACACACCGCCCGUCACGCCAUGGGAGUCGGUAACACCCGAAGCCUGUAGUCUAACCGCAAGGAGGACGCAGUCGAAGGUGGGAUUGAUGACUGGGGUGAAGUCGUAACAAGGUA
This 1470-nucleotide ribosomal RNA is filed under the name metagenome. RNAcentral's name for it is "bacterial SSU rRNA". It matches the Rfam family "Bacterial small subunit ribosomal RNA". The record is from RNAcentral.